This 27-nucleotide non-coding RNA is filed under the name Homo sapiens (human). Lineage: Eukaryota; Metazoa; Chordata; Mammalia; Primates; Hominidae. The record is from RNAcentral.
UCCUACAAAUUGUUUACAGACAGAGAA